Molecule: ribosomal RNA, 465 nt
Filed under: uncultured bacterium
Lineage: Bacteria
Description: bacterial SSU rRNA
Rfam family: Bacterial small subunit ribosomal RNA
Source: RNAcentral
GUGAACGCUGGCGGCGUGCCUAACACAUGCAAGUUGAGCGGGCUUUAGCGGCACAUUGCUAGAGCUAGCGGCAAACGGGUGAGUAAUACGUGAGAAACCUGCCUCAGAAUGGGGAAUACCCCCGAGAAAUCGGGGUUAAUACCGCAUAAGACCACAGUCUGGCAUCAGACAGGGGUCAAAGGAGCAAUUCGUUCUGAGAUGGUCUCGCGUCCUAUCAGCUAGUUGGUGAGGUAACGGCCCACCAAGGCUAUGACGGGUAUCCGGCCUGAAAGGGCGAUCGGACACACUGGAACUGAGACACGGUCCAGACUCCUACGGGAGGCAGCAGUGGGGAAUUUUGGACAAUGGGCGAAAGCCUGAUCCAGCGACGCCGCGUGGAGGACGAAGGUCUUCGGAUUGUAAACUCCUUUUAGAGGGGACGAAAUAAAUGACGGUACCCUCAGAAAAAGCCACGGCUAACUACGU